RNAcentral lists this long non-coding RNA (271 nucleotides) under Homo sapiens (human). RNAcentral describes it as "HSALNT0376811". The record is from RNAcentral. Lineage: Eukaryota; Metazoa; Chordata; Mammalia; Primates; Hominidae.
UGCAGAAGCCGUAGGGGAUUGUUCUCCAGUCUUGACUUUGAGAACUUGGUAGAGCUCCUGAAGGCUCACCUGAUAAGAGAUGUAUGUCACAAUCUGCUCACCCUGGCAUUUCUCUAAAUAGAAGGUUCAUCUGUCUGAAUAUAGAUAUCAAGAAGUGGCAGAGUAUCAGAGGAGAAAGAUAUCAAGAAAUAGAAUAUUCAAGGUACUAAUGGGAUUGUCAAUAAAUAUUAUCCCCAACUCUCAUACACCAGGACAUCCUAAGGGAGAAAUG